Molecule: long non-coding RNA, 1023 nt
Organism: Eucalyptus grandis
Lineage: Eukaryota; Viridiplantae; Streptophyta; Magnoliopsida; Myrtales; Myrtaceae
Exons: 3
Source: RefSeq, a predicted model, not a curated record
GGCAGGUGUGCUUCCAUUUGCUCUUCCCCUCCUCUGCUCUCUCUCCUCAGCUAGUUGCUUCCAUCUCCCCCCACCCUGACGCCGACGCUGCCGACGCCCCUCCACCUCCGCCUCUGCCUCCACAGGUUGCCUCCAUCGCCCCUGACUCUGACGCCGACGCCGAACCCGACGCCCCUACGCCGUCGCCGACGCCCUUUCGCCUCCCUCUCGCGACCUCUGCUCUACUCUCUCCCUCUUUCCUUUGCGGAGCGCCAUUGCUGGCCAACCCCGACGCCGACGAACCCAUACUCGCGUUUUGGCCUCCCUCUCCGCGAACGAAGGUCGCUUUGCUCGCGCUCUCUCUCUCUCUUUCCUCUGCGAAGCGCCCCCUGCUCCUGAACGCGGACGCCACCAACGCCGUCGCCUCUCGCCGUCGCCUUCCCAAGCCCCACUGAUAGGCACCCCAUUGGCAACUCCUGUAUGUCCGAAGGUGGAUGGCAGCGACCUUGGUUGACUAUUACAUCAACGUUGUUCCGCUUGCGGAUCAGACGAGUAAACUGAAUUGGCCUACAGAAUGAGGGAUUUGUUUCUACUGAAACGGGAGCACACCGCACGGAUAAUCAUGAGAACAAGUUUGCGGUAAAACCACAGCCAAAGUUUUUGAAUGGGGCCGUGCAACAAACGCACGGAAAGCAACAGGAACGGCACGAACCAGAGGAGGGAGUGAAAGGAGUCAUGGAGGAGCAACCAUGCGAGCGAAAACACCGAUGUCAAACCAGUGAAGUGGAAGAGGAGGUGCGUUGCUCCAUCACAAGGAGGAGCACGCCCGCAAGGCGAUGGUGCCUGACUAGCGACAUGCCCCAAAGAGAAAUGCAGGAGGGGGCUAUGGCAACACAGGUGGCGACAGGAUGGGUUGCAAAGGGUGAAAUCGACUUCCCCUGGUAAUCCACUUGGAUGAAGCUGACAAGGAUAGAGACGAUGGAGGUAAGAUCCAUGGCGUAUGGCGAGGAGAGGGAUGGAAAGACUGGGACUGUCAUUUUAUAC